CAACACAUUAGUUACCUAUGCUAUUUUUUAAAAAUGAAAAGCCAAAUUAUAAAUUUCUUUUCUGAUGACAGUUAACUAUAAUCUGCAGCAUGACAGCAUUUGAGCAAUGUCUGGUCUGUGAAACUGGCUUCCGUGAUUCUCAUAAAAGAGACUGCACUAUCAAUACCUUCCACAAAGCUGCUUCUGCUUAGGACCCAGACUCCACUAUGAAUGCUUCUGUCCCCCAGCUGGUUCCUGUUGAAUGCCAUCAGGAUGAUUCAGCCACCCACCAGGAACACCAGUAACAGCAAGUGCACGCACAGAAAUCUGCAAAACUUUCUUCUUUUGAUGCCAACACUAUUACUCUGGCAAAGUCAAAACCCUUUAUGGAUUUACCAGUUCAACUAAAUGUGACCUUGUUCCCCUCACAAAUACCAGCUCACUCUCAAAUAAACACAACUUCUGGCUGAUUAAAAUGCAACGUUCUUCCACAGUUGAGUGCACCCUGCAGUGAGUCCCUCCUCUGUGCUGUGUCUACAUUCUCUCCCUUUUUCAUUUUUUCACUGUUCAAUGAAACUUCAAAGGAUGAAUGAGAUCCAUAUACACUCAGAGUCCACCUUGUAUGUUGUCCUGCUUACUGCUGACCACAUGCAUUUAAAGUUAUGCCUCAAGUUGUUUUAUUGUUUCUAUUUUUAAGAAGUUUUCCAUUUCCACAGAAUGUGGUAAUAUGCCUUGAAAAACAGAAAUGUGUAGAUAAACUGUGCUGACCACAGACUUCAUUAAUACAUGAUUUCCAUGCCAUACUCUAGCCAGUUAAAAAUUCUAUACCUUCCUCCUUCAAAUCUAGACCAGAUUACAGACUUAAAGGAAGAAAAUGCCAAAGAUGACAGCUAGCUAUCAAAAAUGUUCUAGUGCCUCAUUUUCAGGUCUCCAAAGUAAAAUCUAAGGGCAUUCGACAAAGAUUCAGGUGCUCUCAAUAGCCAUGAAAAUAUAUGGCUGAAGAGGGAAUCUGUAAAUGUAAUGAAUACACAAUUGGCUUAUAACAGAUGCAACCAAAAUUAAAUUCAAGAUCUUGACCUACUCUUCAAAGUGAAAGUUUUUAGUUCAUGCUACAGAGAG
This 1098-nucleotide long non-coding RNA is filed under the name Heterocephalus glaber (naked mole-rat). RNAcentral's name for it is "lncRNA (ENSHGLG00100050388.1)". The record is from RNAcentral. Lineage: Eukaryota; Metazoa; Chordata; Mammalia; Rodentia; Bathyergidae.